This 478-nucleotide ribosomal RNA is filed under the name uncultured bacterium. RNAcentral's name for it is "partial 16S ribosomal RNA". It matches the Rfam family "Bacterial small subunit ribosomal RNA", at positions 28 to 523 of the family's 1533-position model. The record is from RNAcentral.
GACGAACGCUGGCGGCGUGCUUAACACAUGCAAGUCGGGCGAUGAAGCUCUUUCGGGAGUGGAUUAGCGGCGGACGGGUGAGUAACACGUGGGUAACCUACCUCAAAGAGGGGGAUAGCCUCCCGAAAGGGAGAUUAAUACCGCAUAAUAAUCAGUUUUCACAUGGGAAUUGAUUUAAAGGAGUAAUCCGCUUUGAGAUGGACCCGCGGCGCAUUAGCUAGUUGGUAGGGUAACGGCCUACCAAGGCGACGAUGCGUAGCCGACCUGAGAGGGUGAUCGGCCACAUUGGAACUGAGAGACGGUCCAGACUCCUACGGGAGGCAGCAGUGGGGAAUAUUGCACAAUGGGCGAAAGCCUGAUGCAGCAACGCCGCGUGAGUGAAGAAGGUUUUCGGAUUGUAAAGCUCUGUCUUUGGGGACGAUAAUGACGGUACCCAAGGAGGAAGCCACGGCUAACUACGUGCCAGCCGCCGCAGUAA